CUUGUCCUCAUUUGGAAGUCGCUUUGGAUAAAAGCGUCUGCUAAAUGACUAAAU
Molecule: non-coding RNA, 54 nt
Organism: Danio rerio (zebrafish)
Lineage: Eukaryota; Metazoa; Chordata; Actinopteri; Cypriniformes; Danionidae
Source: Rfam